UACAGAGGUGGCAAGCGUUGUUCGGAAUUACUGGGCGUAAAGGGCGCGUAGGCGGUCUACUAAGUCAGACGUGAAAUCCCCCGGCUUAACCUGGGAACUGCGUCUGAUACUGGAAGGCUUGAGGAUGGGAGAGGGAUGUAGAAUUCCAGGUGUAGCGGUGAAAUGCGUAGAUAUCUGGAGGAAUACCGGUGGCGAAGGCGGCAUCCUGGACCAUUACUGACGCUGAGGCGCGAAAGCUAGGGGAGCAAACGGG
Molecule: ribosomal RNA, 253 nt
Filed under: uncultured bacterium
Lineage: Bacteria
Description: partial 16S ribosomal RNA
Rfam family: Bacterial small subunit ribosomal RNA
Source: RNAcentral